Molecule: ribosomal RNA, 496 nt
Filed under: uncultured bacterium
Lineage: Bacteria
Description: partial 16S ribosomal RNA
Rfam family: Bacterial small subunit ribosomal RNA
Source: RNAcentral
AUGCACGCUGGCGGCGUGCCUCAUACAUGCCAGUCGAGCGAACAGACGAGGAGCUUGCUCCUCUGACGUUAGCGGCGGACGGGUGAGUAACACGUGGAUAACCUACCUAUAAGACUGGGAUAACUUCGGGAAACCGGAGCUAAUACCGGAUAAUAUAUUGAACCGCAUGGUUCAAUAGUGAAAGACGGUUUUGCCGUCACUUAUAGAUGGAUCCGCGCCGCAUUAGCUAGUUGGUAAGGUAACGGCUUACCAAGGCAACGAUGCGUAGCCGACCUGAGAGGGUGAUCGGCCACACUGGAACUGAGACACGGUCCAGACUCCUACGGGAGGCAGCAGUAGGGAAUCUUCCGCAAUGGGCGAAAGCCUGACGGAGCAACGCCGCGUGAGUGAUGAAGGUCUUCGGAUCGUAAAACUCUGUUAUUAGGGAAGAACAAAUGUGUAAGUAACUAUGCACGUCUUGACGGUACCUAAUCAGAAAGCCACGGCUAACUACGUG